RNAcentral lists this long non-coding RNA (826 nucleotides) under Serinus canaria (Common canary). RNAcentral's name for it is "lncRNA (ENSSCAG00000015776.1)". Lineage: Eukaryota; Metazoa; Chordata; Aves; Passeriformes; Fringillidae. The record is from RNAcentral.
AACACUGUAAAAAUCCCUAUCUGCACCAGAGUGGCGUGUUAAGAAGGAGUCCAGUGGAAAAAUGGUGUCCGGGACUGCAUUCUCCAUAAGUCAGGUUGUUGCAUUUUGUUAUGGCUGUCACCAUAAUUGGAAGAACAGUGAAAAGCCCCUAUUUUCAGGCCUUGCAUUUACACAUUCCUGGACAAAGAACCGAUCAGAUGUUGGAAACAAUCCCAGAUUUGGCAGAAAAUGGUACACUGCAAAAUUUCUGGACAACUCAAUUUUGGCUGAUGGCUUUAAUGCGCAUGAGUGCAUUGACAUGUGAGCAUUUGCACUUAUUCUAUGAGCAGUAAAAAGAACUUAGUAAUGGUGAGUCAAAAAGAAAAAGGAAAAUUAGCAUUUUUCUAAAUCUGUAAGUAGAACUAGGGAUGCCUUGCCAAUGAGUCAGUGCUCUAGUGACUAACUAGCAGUACUAGAAUUGCACUAAUAAUACAAAAAUCGUUGUGUCACAAAAAUAAGCAGGAUAAAAAUAACAAACAUUAACUUCACCAGCCAGAAAACCCAUGUGCUUGAGUCCUCUGUUCCUUUUCCUGCACUGCACCUGGAAGCAUGCCCUUGGUGUCUUCUGGAAAGAAUGACUUGGCUUAGUUUGCUGCUUCUGCAUCUUUUUAGGACCAGGAUGGAGUCUUUAGGCCUUUGGUAGAAACAGCACCUUCAGAGUCCCACACUGCUCUUUAACACACCGUGUUCUGCUCAUAGGGAAGAUGUUCAGAAGCUGCACAUGCUUCACAGGAAUACAUGACUGAUAAUAUGCUCCUUAGAGAAAAAUUCAGGGAAUGCAAGAGGA